CAUUACGUGUGUGUGUGCACACUCUUGAUUUGAACAGAAGCUUUGAACCAAAAGAGUGAAACCGUGUGUGUCUGUGUGUUUUUCAUGUGCAUUGGUGUGAACCUCAGAUAAGACAAACACCUCCGACACAAACUUUGGAUACUGAAGAGAUCUGGAGGGUUAAUACACGCUAUUCACAAAGAACCUGUAAACCAACAAAGCAUACUGCUCUCCAGUACGACGGGAACUUCCAGCCACCCAGCAGAGCUACGAGUGGGAGAACAGAUAACAACGGAAGCGAGGGGAAACGAGUGAGCCGCCUUGUAACUGCGUUUGAAUGUAUUACUUCUCUUCACAAAAUAUGUCUCUUUGAGUGAAAGAGCGUGCGUGGGAAAGAUAGAAGUAGAUCUUAAGUAUCAAACAAGACCUUUUAUUAUAGGAAGUACACUAAUGCGUUGUAUUUUCUGAAACUAAGCAACCAACUGCAGAGUAGACAAUCUGCUUUCAGGUUUACACCGGCACACUCAUGCCCAGUGUACGCGUAUAAAACAGCGCUAAAAUGCUCAUGUAUGGAGAUUGACUCGCUGAAGGUCUUUGCCAUCAGAGCUUCCAGUGGAGUUGGGUUUCUCAACCUGUUGCUAGGCAGAUCCAAGAUGAAGGCUAACCCCUUCUGGCAGUUACAAGCUAAAGAGUCUCGGCCUUCGCUGGUCUAGUUACUAGCUAGUUGCAACAGUAAUACAAACACAGCACAUGCAGAUUAAGAAGCUGUGACAGACUUAUCACCUUGUAUAUUAAUGAUCUACUUUAGUCCAAAAAUCAUUAGCCUGUUGUUGCGUGUGAUAGGGAGUCGUGAGGAAAGAUGCAGCACAGACCGACCACAGCAAGCGCAAGCAAUUACUCUGAAAAUGUCCUUUUUACGGUACAAGAGGUAAACCAAAGAAAAUCUAGAAUUUUUUUUCAAUUUUAAACAUUCAACAAUGGCUAUAAUUCUUACUUUUUGUCAAUAAAAAAAAAUAAAAAAUACAGAAUAAAUACCAUAAAUGACUGUAAAGUAAAAGCUUCAUCAUAAAACUCUGACCUGUCGAUGAUUCCUGAAGUGGGCUGCAGCUUGUGCUCGGUUAUACAGGGCAGGCACAACAGACUGACUGAAAUGCACACUUGAAGGCACAUUGUAGUGGGGCUCAAAACACAUUGACCAUAUGUUUUAAUUCUGUAUUGAUCAAGUGUGCUCUCAAAUACACUGCGAUAAAAUAGCUUUAGUUAUUGGUUUGGCAGUGGGGGGGGUAGAGUAGUGUAGCAGGGCAGUUUGUAGUGUGUCCACAGACAUACCCUACUUCAGUUUAACAGUUUGGCAAACAUUUGGACACAAAUCGUUGUCCAUUGAGAUUAUUCGGCUAAACCGAAUAGCAUGCUACAGCUGACAACUGCCAAAGCUUUCCAGGUAAAUGUAUGUUCUGCUUGUGCGAGUAGUCGACAUUAACAGCUGUUUGGGACACAGGGCAGAAAGGAUGUUGCAUAUAUCACAUUACAGGUCAUUUAGCAGACGCUCUUAUCCAGAGCGACUUACAGUGAACUAACUACAGGGACAGUCCCCCAGGAGCAACUCAGGGUUAAGUACCUCAGUGUUCAGGGGAACAAUGGUGGCAGCCCUGGUAUUGAACACAACCAUCUGGUGUUGUAUUUGGAAGCCGUACCACCCUACGGAACCGAACAUCCUGUACGGAACGGUUUGAAGCAAAUACACGUACCGUUACCGUUGUGUGCAUCUCCACUAUUUUUGUCUGCAUUUGUCAAUCUUUAAUGACAGGACAGUCUGACAUUUUAAUAUGGAUAAAUGAAAAUAUAGUAAUACAUGGCCUUGUGGAUGUGGAAUACAGGAAAUAUGAGGCAGUUUCUGGUGUAGCCGAAAUGCUGUUUCACAUUUGUGAUUGACCCCAUUAUUGACAGUCCCCUCAUAAUGAGGCAACAAUAAUGCUGGUGAAGGAAAGAGAACCAUCACUCAUCAUCGUCGUCGUCUUCUUCUCCUCCUCUCAUGGUGUCAAACAUGAGGUUUUCUUAACAAGCCGAAGCGUGUGCGUAGGGGUACUUAUGGCUUCAUUAGCUACCCACAGUACACUUGGCCUAAUGAAAAGCUGAAGGAUUUAAAAUAAUGAACACACACACACAUACUCGUGAGCGCGCUUGUGUGUGUUGAGUGUGAUCAAAGAUAACAGCCGCAUCACAUUUGUGUGGCCUGUGCUGAUUUACAUUUAUUCACUAAAGGAGACAGAUGGACAGAUGAUGACAGAGAGGGAGAAAAAGGACAGAGGGAGUGGAAAGUGAGCGUAGUGACAGGCUGCUAUCCAGGGGGAAGCAAUUAGACGGACUCGGCUGCUGUCACUUAAGACAGGAAGAGAGAAAAAUUGGG
Long non-coding RNA from Cottoperca gobio, 2386 nucleotides. RefSeq lists it as uncharacterized. Lineage: Eukaryota; Metazoa; Chordata; Actinopteri; Perciformes; Bovichtidae. The transcript has 2 exons. The record is from RefSeq and is a predicted model, not a curated record.